CCGGCACGGGUGAGUAACACGUAUCCAACCUGCCGUCUACUCUUGGACAGCCUUCUGAAAGGAAGAUUAAUACAAGAUGGCAUCAUGAGUCCGCAUGUUCACAUGAUUAAAGGUAUUCCGGUAGACGAUGGGGAUGCGUUCCAUUAGAUAGUAGGCGGGGUAACGGCCCACCUAGUCUUCGAUGGAUAGGGGUCUGAGAGGAAGGUCCCCCACAUUGGAACUGAGACACGGUCCAA
This 236-nucleotide ribosomal RNA is filed under the name uncultured bacterium. RNAcentral describes it as "partial 16S ribosomal RNA". It matches the Rfam family "Bacterial small subunit ribosomal RNA", at positions 100 to 334 of the family's 1533-position model. The record is from RNAcentral.